RNAcentral lists this ribosomal RNA (239 nucleotides) under uncultured Lactobacillus sp. RNAcentral's name for it is "partial 16S ribosomal RNA". It matches the Rfam family "Bacterial small subunit ribosomal RNA", at positions 123 to 355 of the family's 1533-position model. Lineage: Bacteria; Bacillati; Bacillota; Bacilli; Lactobacillales; Lactobacillaceae. The record is from RNAcentral.
AACCUGCCCAAGAGAUCGGGAUAACACCUGGAAACAGAUGCUAAUACCGGAUAACGACAGAUGAUGCCUAUCAACUGUUUAAAAGAUGGUUCUGCUAUCACUCUUGGAUGGACCUGCGGUGCAUUAGCUAGUUGGUAGGGUAACGGCCUACCAAGGCGAUGAUGCAUAGCCGAGUUGAGAGACUGAUCGGCCACAUUGGGACUGAGACACGGCCCAAACUCCUACGGGAGGCAGCAGUU